GGAUUCGCCGCUCUAGGCCCCAGCCCGUCUCUCAACUGCAGUUCCGCCAGCACCCAACAGAUGGAGGACGGGUUCUGUCUCCGAGUCGCCGGGACCGUCCAGCAUCUUCUCACGUCGUCCAGUUUGGACCUGCAGCCGACAUUCCUGGCGCCCCGGGUCAGUAUCUGAGUGUCAUCUGCUCAGUGCCUGGCAGAUGUCUGGUGCUCAGCAGCUGUGGAACAGUUGCCCAGCAGGAGAGGACAGCACAGACUCAUCCCAGUGAGGUGGCAUGGCCCAUCACGUCAUGGAGAAUCAGAGAAAGACUGCUUUUGGCCAGCCAGCCCAGGGAGAGGUGGAGACGCAGAUGAGCUGUUGUCCUGUGUGGAGUAGUCGACUUCCGUCCUGGGAAUAAAAGGUGUGGCUCGUGGGUUGGGAACACAGCCCACGUUUGUGAAGCAGCCAGCUUCUCUGAGAACCCAGGUACUCUGGGUUCCAGAACAUGGUGACCAGGUGGAACCAGGCUGCUCAUCCAGGGCUUCUUGACCGUUGCAGAGGAAGCAGCACGGUGCACAGGGGUCCCUGCGAGGUGUCCCGUCCUGUCAAGAGACAGCUGGCUCAGACGAGUCCACUGUGUGCAGAGGCGUCAUGGAAGCUGUCGUGUCAAGAGCAUUCUAGACCGCACUGUCCUUGAGAUGUUGGCUUGAAGAAAGGCGAGGUAACAUUGGAGAGCAAACCCUUGUCGUGACCUCCUGCCCUGUGACCUCCCCAUCACGCUGGGGGUGCUGCCUUGGAGGACACCUCAGGGAUGGGAGCACUGGCCUCUCAGGAUGGUGUCCUGGGUUCCAGCUCCCCUGGAGGAGCCUCCUCAUGGCUGUUUUGGGUCUGAUGACAGGCGAGCAGACUGAAGAGGGGUGUUGCUGCGUGACCACCGCCAGACCUCCUUCUCCUGUUGCCUCAGCACAGUAUGGAAGGACGUGGCCCCAUGUGACCAGGUCAGGGGCCUGGCUAAGGCCUGAGACUCUGGGACCUUGGGAUUCACAGCUGGAGACCUUCAGCUGGCUCUGCCCCUUCCCAGCAGGUGCCACAGGGCACAGCGGACCCAGAAGACUGGUUUCCUUUCAUCUGGACCAGGUCCUCCAGUGGCCUCCAUGUCCCCCUCUCUGUUUCUGGUGUAACUUUUAGAACCAGGAGUUCCUGUUGGAGGCGUCUCUGCUGGGCAUCUUGUCCUCUCACCCACUUCAAUAAAUCUUGAAACUGCC
RNA transcript from Capra hircus (goat), 1238 nucleotides. RefSeq lists it as uncharacterized. Lineage: Eukaryota; Metazoa; Chordata; Mammalia; Artiodactyla; Bovidae. The transcript has 6 exons. The record is from RefSeq and is a predicted model, not a curated record.